GGAUCUGAAGGUGAUUUGCCUGCACUAUUUGCCACCUCUUUGAUCACCAGAGUUGAAACUGCUGAUCUGUUGCCUAGGCCAGUGUUUCCUUCCUCCCUCAUCGUACCCCUCCGGAACCUGAGCACUCAGUCAAGAGGACAGCCUUCCCUUACAGAAAAGAAACAGUCUUUUGUAAAGAAUAGACGAGUAGCUGCACUCGCCUGCUAGAAACUGUGGACAAUUUCUCAAGAUCCUUUUUUUUUCUUUUUCUUUUUUUUUUUUUUGAGACAGGGUCUCA
Chlorocebus sabaeus (green monkey) is the source of this 277-nucleotide non-coding RNA. The record is from Rfam. NCBI's taxonomy places the organism in Eukaryota, Metazoa, Chordata, Mammalia, Primates, Cercopithecidae.